Molecule: ribosomal RNA, 301 nt
Filed under: uncultured bacterium
Lineage: Bacteria
Description: partial 16S ribosomal RNA
Rfam family: Bacterial small subunit ribosomal RNA
Source: RNAcentral
CAGUCGCCACGGUAAUACGAAGGGGGCUAGCGUUGUUCGGAAUUACUGGGCGUAAAGGGCGCGUAGGCGGCCAUUCAAGUUAGAUGUGAAAGCCCUGGGCUUAACCUGGGGGCUGCAUUCAAUACGUGCGGGCUAGAAUGUGGAAGAGGGUUGUGGAAUUCCCAGUGUAGAGGUGAAAUUCGUAGAUAUUGGGAAGAACACCGGUGGCGAAGGCGGCAACCUGGUCCAUAAUUGACGCUGAGGCGCGAAAGCGUGGGGAGCAAACAGGAUUAGAUACCCCCGUAGUCCCUGUCUCUUAUAC